AGGCCCGUAGUGUAGGCGGUUAACAUACUCCCCUGUCACGGGAGAGAUCGCGGGUUCAAACCCCGUCGGGCCUG
RNAcentral lists this transfer RNA (74 nucleotides) under Xanthomonas phage vB_XveM_DIBBI. It matches the Rfam family "tRNA". Rfam says of the family: Transfer RNA (tRNA) molecules are approximately 80 nucleotides in length. Their secondary structure includes four short double-helical elements and three loops (D, anti-codon, and T loops). Further hydrogen bonds mediate the characteristic L-shaped molecular structure. tRNAs have two regions of fundamental functional importance: the anti-codon, which is responsible for specific mRNA codon recognition, and the 3' end, to which the tRNAs corresponding amino acid is attached (by aminoacyl-tRNA synthetases). tRNAs cope with the degeneracy of the genetic code in two manners: having more than one tRNA (with a specific anti-codon) for a particular amino acid; and 'wobble' base-pairing, i.e. permitting non-standard base-pairing at the 3rd anti-codon position. The record is from Rfam by way of RNAcentral. Lineage: Duplodnaviria; Heunggongvirae; Uroviricota; Caudoviricetes.